This 274-nucleotide ribosomal RNA is filed under the name uncultured bacterium. Its description in RNAcentral is "partial 16S ribosomal RNA". It matches the Rfam family "Archaeal small subunit ribosomal RNA", at positions 473 to 747 of the family's 1478-position model. The record is from RNAcentral.
AAACCAGCACCUCAAGUGGUCAGGAGGAUUAGUGGGCCUAAAGCAUCCGUAGCCUGCUUUGUAAGUUUUCGGUUAAAUCCAUAUGCUCAACAUAUGGGCUGCCGGGAAUACUGCAUAGCUAGGGAGUGGGAGAGGUAGACGGUACUCCGUAGGAAGGGGUAAAAUCCUUUGAUCUAUUGAUGACCACCUGUGGCGAAGGCGGUCUACCAGAACACGUUCGACGGUGAGGGAUGAAAGCUGGGGGAGCAAACCGGAUUAGAAACCCCUGUAGUCC